UCUUGUGGUUCACACACAUAAAUCAUUCAGGAUUUUCUUGGGUGCACACAUUACUCCAUAGAAUUCUCAUUCAGAAUGUUUUCAGGCCUACGAGGACAUGUCAGAGCUGUGGUGCGAAUGAAGCUUGCCAAACAAGAUCACAGAUCAAAUAUUUACUGCAAGCCACCUAAGGAAAAGAUUGGACCUGGGCAGACAGUGUUUACCAUGUCCAUCUUUGCACUUGGUCUCCUGGUCCCUGCUGGCUGGAUCAUGUACCACAUCCCAGUAUACCGGCAAACACCACCUUCACAAGUCUGACCUUAUGGACCACUUACAUCACUCACCCUUUGCCACAUCACAGAGCUUUUUUGUUUACUGAAAUAAAAUGCAACUUGUCAUGUGACAAAAUCUAAA
Neoarius graeffei (lesser salmon catfish) is the source of this 393-nucleotide long non-coding RNA. RefSeq lists it as uncharacterized. The transcript is spliced from 2 exons. NCBI's taxonomy places the organism in Eukaryota, Metazoa, Chordata, Actinopteri, Siluriformes, Ariidae. The record is from RefSeq and is a predicted model, not a curated record.